Molecule: small RNA, 577 nt
Filed under: Pongo abelii (Sumatran orangutan)
Lineage: Eukaryota; Metazoa; Chordata; Mammalia; Primates; Hominidae
Description: retained intron
Source: RNAcentral
GUCAGACCGGAAUUCCCGGUGCCGCCGCAACCGCCGUCUGUGCGCCCACCUCUGCUGCCGCCAUGGGGAUCUUAGAGAAGAUCUCGGAGAUCGAGAAGGAGAUCGCUCGGACGCAGAAGAACAAGGCCACUGAGUAUCAUCUGGGCCUGCUGAAAGCUAAGCUCGCCAAGUAUCGGGCCCAGCUCCUGGAACCGUCCAAAUCGGCCUCGUCCAAAGGAGAGGGCUUUGAUGUCAUGAAGUCGGGCGAUGCCCGUGUGGCGCUGAUUGGAUUUCCCUCUGUGGUCCACAUUCUUGAGUCUGAUGACCUCCACGGCCAGCGAGGCAGCGUCCUAUGAGUUCACCACUCUGACGUGUAUUCCUGGGGUCAUUGAAUACAAAGGUGCCAACAUCCAGCUCCUGGACCUUCCUGGAAUCAUUGAAGGCGCAGCCCAAGGUGGGAGGCAGGGCAGGUGUGUGGGAGGCAGGCUGGAGCUCUGUUACUGAUCGUUGAAAUUGGGUGUGGCUGUCAUGGAGAUCACUCUGGACCCCUGGUCCAUUAUCCCGCUUUCCAGAAAAGACAGGUUCCAGUUCAAAUCCU